UAGAUUUAAAAUAUAUUUAUGUUCAAUUUUUUCAAAAAUAAUGUAUAUAUAUUAAUCUUAUACUUAUAUUUCGUGUAAAAGUAUAUAUCCGUAUAACUUUGUUUAGGUAUCUGCUAUGCACUACACAAUAUGAACGCCUAGCGCGUUUUAGAACACGGGUUCUUCAUGUCUUCUAGUUUCGUUUCCACUAACUAUUUUCCAAAUUCAAAAUUAAAUAAUUUUCACGGGCCCAUUUACCACAUAAUAUACAAAACACCUUAAUAGAUAAAUAAAAUGUUUGUCGAAAAAGAUAAUGAAAUCUUUACAUUUUAUUUUACAUAUGCCAUAAAAUAAUCUGAGUCUUUGCUGGAAUGAUGGAAACUAAAUUGGGUAAAAAUGAAAUAAUCCAUGAUUUAUGAUCUGUGGCAUGUGCCAAAAGGUAUUUCCUUUAACUAUUGUCGAAUUCUUCUUUCAAUAUAUAAUACGAAGCGUGUAUAGUGAUAGUAUGGUUCCAAUCUUUAUACACAGGUCAUAGAUUCAGCUUAGUUAGAUACUUUCAAGCGAAUUAUAAUUCUGUGAAAUAAAUUAGUUAGACUUGCUGCUUAAUUUAGAUGAAAGUUAGGCUUGAGGUUUAAACCGUUGACCAAACAACAACCAGAAAAAGUUAGGCUGUUGACUUUUAAUAAUAAAAAAUGGGAGAUCAUUGGUUCUUCAAUUGAAUAGUUUCAAAAAGAAGAAUAUGAUAUUAAAAAAAUGUCAAAAGAGACAUUUUUUUUACAUCCGAGACAUUAAAGUUACAAGGUAAGGUAAAUAACUCUUUGAUAAAAAAAAAGGUAAAUAACACUAUGAAGUCAUAGUGAACCAGAUUUUGAAACUUGAAUACGUUUUUCUGGGAGAGAACUUAUAGAGUUUUCUUAGUUUUAUUUGCAGAAAAACACUAUCAUCAUACUGCCAAAACGACACUGGGAAAUAACUGACCCUAUUAUAAAGGUGGUCCCAAGUGACUGAAAUAUUGGUCCCAAAUGGUGCUUACAACAUGUUUGGGCUCAUAUGGAGACAAUAAUGCCCAAUCAUGUUUUAAGAUAUUCAGAAGUUGAAAACACUUUUUAAUCGGCUUUAAAUUGAUCAAAGAUCUAGCAAGAGCAGUACAGAAAUAUUUGGAAAACUCGAUCUCCACCAUUUACAUCUUUGUAAAAGAUAAUUCCAAUUUAUCCCAUCCAAAUUUAUUGAUAAGAAUCUAUCUAUAUUAUAAUGAGGCACUUUAGUGUUUCAUAAGGCUAUCCACGUAUGCGCUUUUUUAAUGAUAGCAGGGCCCACAUUCAUUGUUAUCCUCCUUCCAAAGUUCAACCUAGCCGUCUCGGCUUCUCUGCGAAGUUAAUGUUUCCUCUCAUCUCUUUACUUCCUUUAUCUAUCGUUCAAUGUAUUUCUAUUGUUCAACGUAUUUCUUUUAAUGUGCCAAUAAUUCUUAUUCACAUUAAACCCAGUAAGGAUGUCGACCUUUCCCUUUCUCCACAUCAAUGUAUAAAUCAGAGAAGGUUGAGAGCAUGAUGUAUCUUCAGAACCAUUCCGCAAGCUCCGUAGUCCGUACCCAACCUCUAACCCUCUCUUUCCCAUCUCCUCCGGCGUCCCGAUGCCGUCCCAGAAUCUACCGCUCUGUUUCGGCCGGCGAGACCACAAAAUGAUUCGUGGAUGAUCUCCCUGACAUAUCAUGGGGUUGCGAGAUAGAUUCAGUCGAGAACGCCAGUUCUCUUCAGAGAUGGCUCUCUAAUUCAUGCCUCCAGCCGCAGAAAAUGGCUAUCGACAGAGGACUCGCCGCGUUCUCAGAACUUAAGAAAAGGAGAAAAGCUUCUCUUCUUUCCUCAUUCUCUCAUCAUCAGUGCUGAUUCCGUAAGUUCAAAAGCGUUGAAAUUUUAUUUUGAACUUGCAAUAAUGUCAUGAGCUUUAGAUUCCUUUCAUGGGUUUAGGUGUGGACCAAUGGUGAGGCUGGUGAAGUGAUGAAACAUUAUGAUGUUCCGGAUUGGCCUUUGCUAGCUACUUGUCCAUCAAAUGAUGACGAUGACAUGAUGCUACCAUCGAUGAUGAUUAUUUAGGUUCUUUGGAUAGUUGGAAGCGGUGGGAGGUACAAAAGACAACGAAGGGAGGAUGGGGAAGCUGAUGGCGUGUUUGGCGACGCUUGAAGAGGCGUUUCAGAAGAGCAGCAACGGAUUAAGGUUCUUUGGAGGAGAGAACAUUGGCUUCCUCGACAUAGCUUGUGGAACCAUUUUCGGACCAGUCUCUGUGAUCGAGGCGUUUCCGGCGUUAAAUUUCUCCGGGAAGAAAUAACACCUGAAGUUUAGGGUCCAUGAAGCUGUCAAGCCUUACAUGCCUACCGUGCAAGAGUUCAUUGCAUUUGCUAAGAAGAAGUUUGGUGUUGAGUGAAUAUGGUUCUAGAAGCAAUCUAUGAAAACAGUAAAUGGAUGAAAUAAUGUAUGAGUGGUUUUUGUUGUCUUUAGUUCCAUAUAUAUGACAGACCUUUGUCUUUGUUCUUUCAUCUAAUGUGAUAAAAGUUUUAAUUGAUAUAAUCA
This is a long non-coding RNA of Brassica rapa (field mustard), 2543 nucleotides long. RefSeq lists it as uncharacterized. Lineage: Eukaryota; Viridiplantae; Streptophyta; Magnoliopsida; Brassicales; Brassicaceae. The record is from RefSeq and is a predicted model, not a curated record.